This 439-nucleotide ribosomal RNA is filed under the name uncultured bacterium. RNAcentral describes it as "partial 16S ribosomal RNA". It matches the Rfam family "Bacterial small subunit ribosomal RNA", at positions 339 to 795 of the family's 1533-position model. The record is from RNAcentral.
CUACGGGUUGCUGCAGUGAGGAAUAUUGCACAAUGGGGGGAGCCCUGAUGCAGCAACGCCGCGUGGAGGAUGACGCAUUUCGGUGUGUAAACUCCUUUUAUAUGUCAAGAAAAUGACGGUAGCAUAUGAAUAAGCACCGGCUAACUCCGUGCCAGCAGCCGCGGUAAUACGGAGGGUGCAAGCGUUACUCGGAAUCACUGGGCGUAAAGGACGCGUAGGCGGGUUGGAAAGUCAGGUGUGAAAUCCUACAGCUUAACUGUAGAACUGCACUUGAAACUUCUAAUCUAGAGUAUGGGAGGGGGAGAUGGAAUUAGUGGUGUAGGGGUAAAAUCCGUAGAUAUCACUAGGAAUACCUAAAGCGAAGGCGAUCUCCUGGAACAUUACUGACGCUAAGGCGUGAAAGCGUGGGGAGCAAACAGGAUUAGAUACCCUUGUAGUC